This 1588-nucleotide ribosomal RNA is filed under the name Actinomycetota bacterium. Its description in RNAcentral is "partial 23S ribosomal RNA". It matches the Rfam family "Bacterial large subunit ribosomal RNA", at positions 1 to 1537 of the family's 2925-position model. The record is from RNAcentral. Lineage: Bacteria; Bacillati; Actinomycetota.
UACCAAGCUGAUAAGGGCGUACGGUGGAUGCCUUGGCGCUAGGAGCCGACGAAGGACGUGGCAGGCUGCGAAAAGCCUCGGGAAGGCGCCAAACAACCAUUGAUCCGAGGAUGUCCGAAUGGGGAAACCCACCAGCGGUAAUGCGCUGGUACCCAGGUCUGAACACAUAGGACCUGAGGAGGGAACCGGGUGAACUGAAACAUCUAAGUAACCCGAGGAAGAGAAAACAAUAACGUGAGUCCCUGAGUAGCGGCGAGCGAAACGGGAUCAGCCCAAACCUCCGUGGUGUUAAAGCCUGAUGGCGUUGCCACGGGGGGGUCGUGGGACCCGCCCGACCGGGCAUCAGACCGGUCAAGGAGUUACAAAAUCAUCGGUUAGUCGAAGAGUCUGGAAAGUCAGGCCAUAGAAGGUAAUAGCCCUGUAGAUGAAAACCGACUGAUCUCCUGGAGGUGUUCCCAAGUAACACGGUCCCCGUGCAGAGGUCGUGUGAAUUUGCGAGGCCCACCUCGUAAGGCUAACUACUACCUAGCGACCGAUAGUGAACCAGUACCGUGAGGGAAAGGUGAAAAGUACCCCGGGAGGGGAGUGAAAUAGUACCUGAAACCGUGCGCCUACAAGCAGUCAGAGCGUCUGUGCGGGUUCGUCCCGUACACGUGAUGGCGUGCCUUUUGAAGAAUGAGCCGGCGAGUUAGCGAUGCGUGGCAAGGUUAAGACGAGAGUCGUAGCCGUAGCGAAAGCGAGUCUUAAUAGGGCGUUGAGUCGCGUGUCCUAGACCCGAAGCCGGGUGAUCUAGCCAUGGGCAGGGUGAAGCGGAGGUAAGACUCCGUGGAGGCCCGAACCCACCAGGGUUGAAAACCUGGGGGAUGACCUGUGGUUAGGGGUGAAAGGCCAAUCAAACCCGGUGAUAGCUGGUUCUCCCCGAAAUGCAUUUAGGUGCAGCGUCGGGUGUUCAGUAUCGGCGGUAGAGCACUGGUUGGGCUAAGGGGCCUACAAGCUUACUAAACUCAGCCAAACUCCGAAUGCCGAUACUCUAGAACCCGGCAGUGAGACUGCGGGGGAUAAGCUCCGUAGUCGAGAGGGAAACAGCCCAGAUCGCCAGCUAAGGUCCCUAAAUCUUCGCUAAGUGGGAAAGGAUGUGGAGUUGCCCAGACAGCCAGGAGGUUGGCUUAGAAGCAGCCAUCCUUAAAAGAGUGCGUAACAGCUCACUGGUCGAGUGAUUCCGCGCCGACAAUGUAACGGGGCUAAGCGAAGUACCGAAGCUGCGGGAUUGCUUUCUCUUUGAGAAAGUGAUCGGUAGGGGAGCGUUGUGACAACUGCGAAGCUUCUUCGCAAGAAGGGGUGGAGUGGUCACAAGUGCGAAUGCCGGCAUGAGUAGCGAAAUGGAAGCGAGAAACUUCCACGCCGUAUGUCCAAGGGUUCCUGGGGAAGGUUAAUCCGCCCAGGGUAAGUCGGGACCUAAGCCGAGGCCGAGAGGCGUAGGCGAUGGACAACUGGUUGAUAUUCCAGUACCACCACAUGCGCGCCCACCCCGAAUCCAGUUGCUAAGGAAAGCCUUCGGGCCUACCGACCCACUGGUUCUAGGGGAGCA